Molecule: long non-coding RNA, 529 nt
Organism: Heterocephalus glaber (naked mole-rat)
Lineage: Eukaryota; Metazoa; Chordata; Mammalia; Rodentia; Bathyergidae
Source: Ensembl
GGCUGGCAAGGCAUAAAUCGAGAUUGGGAAGUGGACUCUUAGGAGUAAGACAUCAAGAUUCUUCCUGUGCCUUAGUCCUUCCUGUCAUUAGUUGGUAGGUGAGAUGAGGAAGUAAUCAUGGUCAUUGGUGCUGUUGUUCACUUGCUGAGGUGCCAAGGACACCCAUCUGUCAAGACAAUGUGUAGGAUGCUGAUCAAGCCUGGAGCCCCUGCCGCUGAGCACCCCGCUGGGGACUGAAGAUGCCACUUCAAUGAGAGUGUGCCUGCCUGAUGGUGCACUGUGGUUUGGGAAGGGAUUGCAAUCCAUCUUUCCCCUGGAAAAAAAGGCUUUCAUUGCAGCAGGAAAAAGGGCACAGAAAAUUGCCUUGAUCUUCACAAUAAGGGAUGCAACCUGAGUAUUUCAUAACAGAAACUCAUUUUGAAAGAUCAUUUCAUUUUGGACUAUGCCAAACCAAAGCAAUUGAUUUUUUAAUAGAAUCAAAAUAACCACCCCACACUUGAGACCUAUUGAGGGUAGGUCUAAAAAGGAG